UGGGGAAUAUUGGACAAUGGGCGAAAGCCUGAUCCAGCAAUACCGCGUGAGUGAUGAAGGUCUUCGGAUUGUAAAGCUCUUUUAGUAGGGAAGAUAAUGACGGUACCUACAGAAAAAGCACCGGCAAACUUC
Molecule: ribosomal RNA, 132 nt
Filed under: uncultured Alphaproteobacteria bacterium
Lineage: Bacteria; Pseudomonadati; Pseudomonadota; Alphaproteobacteria
Description: partial 16S ribosomal RNA
Rfam family: Bacterial small subunit ribosomal RNA
Source: RNAcentral